RNAcentral lists this ribosomal RNA (522 nucleotides) under Triticum aestivum (bread wheat). RNAcentral describes it as "partial small subunit ribosomal RNA". The record is from RNAcentral. Lineage: Eukaryota; Viridiplantae; Streptophyta; Magnoliopsida; Poales; Poaceae.
AUGCGCAUUAAAAGGCUCCAGCCUGUUGUUGAUGCUGCUGGGCUUGACAAGGUUGGCGGACCGGAGGUUGUUAAGAAGAACAUGAUGCCGUCUUUUGCGGGUGGGCUUCGCUGUAUGACUGAAGAUUUCCACGAUGCAGUGGCUGUUUCGCAAGUCCAUGGCUCGCCUGAUAUAUCCACAACCUUGGCAUGUGAUCCAGAGUGGCCUGAGAUAAUUGAGACCCUUGAACAUGGGCAAAAAGCAGUCAAUAGAGCUGAUAUUACCAUUCAAAUCCAUCAGAUGAAGCUCCUUGACUACCUGCACAUAGUCAGGACUGGGCAAGUGUUUGGGACAGUGCUUGCUGUUGUCCACACCGUGGAGUUCCAGAAAACGGGGGUGCCCCAUGCACAUAUCCUUGUUUGGCAGGAGAAGAACGAUGAUCAGGCCCCUGCACUUGCUGAUGUUGAUCCAGAUGCUUGUACUGCUGCACCUGCCAACAGCAGGAUUGCCACUACUGCUGCUGCUGCAUCAACCAUUUCAUAA